AUUGAACGCUGGCGGCAUGCUUUACACAUGCAAGUCGAACGGGCUUGGGGGCUUGCUCCCAAGUUAGUGGCGAACGGGUGAGUAAUACAUCGGAACGUACCGUGUAGUGGGGGAUAACGUAGCGAAAGUUACGCUAAUACCGCAUACGAUCUACAGAUGAAAGCAGGGGACCUUCGGGCCUUGUGCUAUACGAGCGGCCGAUGUCUGAUUAGCUGGUUGGUGAGGUAAAGGCUCACCAAGGCGACGAUCAGUAGCGGGUCUGAGAGGAUGAUCCGCCACACUGGGACUGAGACACGGCCCAGACUCCUACGGGAGGCAGCAGUGGGGAAUUUUGGACAAUGGGCGAAAGCCUGAUCCAGCCAUGCCGCGUGUCUGAAGAAGGCC
RNAcentral lists this ribosomal RNA (384 nucleotides) under uncultured bacterium. RNAcentral describes it as "bacterial SSU rRNA". It matches the Rfam family "Bacterial small subunit ribosomal RNA", at positions 30 to 416 of the family's 1533-position model. The record is from RNAcentral.